GUUCGCCUCUACGUCUAGAUCAAUACCCGAACUCUUACCGAACUCGAGCGUCCUUAUCUAGAUAGCCACACAUACUACUAAUCGUGGGAACCAUGGCUUUUAUAAAAUUACAAUAAAUCAAAAAUUCGUAAGGUUGCGCUAUA
RNAcentral lists this ribosomal RNA (143 nucleotides) under Chorda filum. The record is from RNAcentral. Lineage: Eukaryota; Phaeophyceae; Laminariales; Chordaceae. RNAcentral also lists the same sequence under 1 other name.